RNAcentral lists this transfer RNA (72 nucleotides) under Leptolyngbyaceae cyanobacterium LF-bin-113. It matches the Rfam family "tRNA". From Rfam's summary of the family: Transfer RNA (tRNA) molecules are approximately 80 nucleotides in length. Their secondary structure includes four short double-helical elements and three loops (D, anti-codon, and T loops). The record is from Rfam by way of RNAcentral. RNAcentral also lists the same sequence under 1 other name. Lineage: Bacteria; Bacillati; Cyanobacteriota; Cyanophyceae; Leptolyngbyales; Leptolyngbyaceae.
GGGCGAUUAGCUCAAUGGUAGAGCGCCUGCCUUACAAGCAGGAUGUUACUGGUUCGAGCCCAGUAUUGCCCA